UGUCACCGUCGUACGGGUGCGUAACGCGUAUGCAACCUACCUUCAACUGGGGGAUAGCCCGGGGAAACCCGGAUUAAUACCGCAUAAUACAGGGGGCCCACAUGGGUCUAUUUGUUAAAGAUUUAUUGGUUGAAGAUGGGCAUGCGUUCGAUUAGCUAGUUGGUACGGGUAACGGCCUACCAAGGCGACGAUCGAUAGGGGAGCUGAGAGGUUGAUCCCCCACACGGGCACUGAGAUACGGGCCCGACUCCUACGGGAGGCAGCAGUAGGGAAUAUUGGGCAAUGGAUGCAAGUCUGACCCAGCCAUGCCGCGUGCCGGAUGAAGGCCCUCAGGGUUGUAAACGGCUUUUAUUCGGGAAGAAGAGCAGGGAUGCGUCCCUGUGUGACGGUACUGAAUGAAUAAGCACCGGCUAACUCCGUGCCAGCAGCCGCGGUAAUACGGAGGGUGCGAGCGUUGUCCGGAUUUAUUGGGUUUAAAGGGUGCGUAGGUGGCUUUUUAAGUCAGUGGUGAAAUACAGCCGCUCAACGGUUGAGGUGCCAUUGAUACUGAAGAGCUUGAAACAAGUGGAGGCUGCCGGAAUGGAUGGUGUAGCGGUGAAAUGCAUAGAUAUCAUCCAGAACACCGAUUGCGAAGGCAGGUGGCUACGUUUGAUUUGACACUGAGGCACG
Molecule: ribosomal RNA, 669 nt
Filed under: Dyadobacter koreensis
Lineage: Bacteria; Pseudomonadati; Bacteroidota; Cytophagia; Cytophagales; Spirosomataceae
Description: bacterial SSU rRNA
Rfam family: Bacterial small subunit ribosomal RNA
Source: RNAcentral